RNAcentral lists this transfer RNA (69 nucleotides) under Marmota monax (woodchuck). RNAcentral's name for it is "tRNA.Ala". The record is from RNAcentral. Lineage: Eukaryota; Metazoa; Chordata; Mammalia; Rodentia; Sciuridae.
GAUUGUAGCUUAGUGGUAGAGUGCCUGCCUAGCAAGUGUGAGGCACUGGGUUCGAUCCUCAGUACAACA